RNAcentral lists this ribosomal RNA (1385 nucleotides) under Pediococcus pentosaceus. RNAcentral describes it as "16S ribosomal RNA". It matches the Rfam family "Bacterial small subunit ribosomal RNA", at positions 93 to 1465 of the family's 1533-position model. The record is from RNAcentral. Lineage: Bacteria; Bacillati; Bacillota; Bacilli; Lactobacillales; Lactobacillaceae.
GAGUGGCGAACGGGUGAGUAACACGUGGGUAACCUGCCCAGAAGUAGGGGAUAACACCUGGAAACAGAUGCUAAUACCGUAUAACAGAGAAAACCGCAUGGUUUUCUUUUAAAAGAUGGCUCUGCUAUCACUUCUGGAUGGACCCGCGGCGUAUUAGCUAGUUGGUGAGGCAAAGGCUCACCAAGGCAGUGAUACGUAGCCGACCUGAGAGGGUAAUCGGCCACAUUGGGACUGAGACACGGCCCAGACUCCUACGGGAGGCAGCAGUAGGGAAUCUUCCACAAUGGACGCAAGUCUGAUGGAGCAACGCCGCGUGAGUGAAGAAGGGUUUCGGCUCGUAAAGCUCUGUUGUUAAAGAAGAACGUGGGUAAGAGUAACUGUUUACCCAGUGACGGUAUUUAACCAGAAAGCCACGGCUAACUACGUGCCAGCAGCCGCGGUAAUACGUAGGUGGCAAGCGUUAUCCGGAUUUAUUGGGCGUAAAGCGAGCGCAGGCGGUCUUUUAAGUCUAAUGUGAAAGCCUUCGGCUCAACCGAAGAAGUGCAUUGGAAACUGGGAGACUUGAGUGCAGAAGAGGACAGUGGAACUCCAUGUGUAGCGGUGAAAUGCGUAGAUAUAUGGAAGAACACCAGUGGCGAAGGCGGCUGUCUGGUCUGCAACUGACGCUGAGGCUCGAAAGCAUGGGUAGCGAACAGGAUUAGAUACCCUGGUAGUCCAUGCCGUAAACGAUGAUUACUAAGUGUUGGAGGGUUUCCGCCCUUCAGUGCUGCAGCUAACGCAUUAAGUAAUCCGCCUGGGGAGUACGACCGCAAGGUUGAAACUCAAAAGAAUUGACGGGGGCCCGCACAAGCGGUGGAGCAUGUGGUUUAAUUCGAAGCUACGCGAAGAACCUUACCAGGUCUUGACAUCUUCUGACAGUCUAAGAGAUUAGAGGUUCCCUUCGGGGACAGAAUGACAGGUGGUGCAUGGUUGUCGUCAGCUCGUGUCGUGAGAUGUUGGGUUAAGUCCCGCAACGAGCGCAACCCUUAUUACUAGUUGCCAGCAUUAAGUUGGGCACUCUAGUGAGACUGCCGGUGACAAACCGGAGGAAGGUGGGGACGACGUCAAAUCAUCAUGCCCCUUAUGACCUGGGCUACACACGUGCUACAAUGGAUGGUACAACGAGUCGCGAAACCGCGAGGUUAAGCUAAUCUCUUAAAACCAUUCUCAGUUCGGACUGUAGGCUGCAACUCGCCUACACGAAGUCGGAAUCGCUAGUAAUCGCGGAUCAGCAUGCCGCGGUGAAUACGUUCCCGGGCCUUGUACACACCGCCCGUCACACCAUGAGAGUUUGUAACACCCAAAGCCGGUGGGGUAACCUUUUAGGAGCUAGCCGUCUAAGGUGG